RNAcentral lists this transfer RNA (75 nucleotides) under Rhodobacter sp. Its description in RNAcentral is "tRNA-Lys". It matches the Rfam family "tRNA". Rfam says of the family: Transfer RNA (tRNA) molecules are approximately 80 nucleotides in length. Their secondary structure includes four short double-helical elements and three loops (D, anti-codon, and T loops). Further hydrogen bonds mediate the characteristic L-shaped molecular structure. tRNAs have two regions of fundamental functional importance: the anti-codon, which is responsible for specific mRNA codon recognition, and the 3' end, to which the tRNAs corresponding amino acid is attached (by aminoacyl-tRNA synthetases). tRNAs cope with the degeneracy of the genetic code in two manners: having more than one tRNA (with a specific anti-codon) for a particular amino acid; and 'wobble' base-pairing, i.e. permitting non-standard base-pairing at the 3rd anti-codon position. RNAcentral also lists the same sequence under 6 other names. Lineage: Bacteria; Pseudomonadati; Pseudomonadota; Alphaproteobacteria; Rhodobacterales. The record is from RNAcentral.
GGGCCGGUAGCUCAGCGGUAGAGCAACUGACUUUUAAUCAGUUGGCCAUAGGUUCGAUCCCUAUCCGGCUCACCA